UACGUAGGUGGCAAGCGUUGUCCGGAUUUACUGGGCGUAAAGAGCGCGCAGGCGGCUGGUCAAGUCCGAUGUGAAAGCCCCCGGCUCAACUGGGGAGGGUCAUUCGAUACUGAUCGACUUGAAGGCAGGAGAGGGAAGUGGAAUUCCGGGUGUAGUGGUGAAAUGCGUAGAUAUCCGGAGGAACACCAGUGGCGAAGGCGACUUCCUGGCCUGUUCUUGACGCUGAGGCGCGAAAGCUGGGGGAGCAAACGGGG
RNAcentral lists this ribosomal RNA (254 nucleotides) under uncultured bacterium. Its description in RNAcentral is "partial 16S ribosomal RNA". It matches the Rfam family "Bacterial small subunit ribosomal RNA", at positions 524 to 777 of the family's 1533-position model. The record is from RNAcentral.